This 450-nucleotide ribosomal RNA is filed under the name uncultured bacterium. Its description in RNAcentral is "partial 16S ribosomal RNA". It matches the Rfam family "Bacterial small subunit ribosomal RNA", at positions 354 to 796 of the family's 1533-position model. The record is from RNAcentral.
GUGGGGAAUCUUAGACAAUGGGCGCAAGCCUGAUCCAGCAAUGCCGCGUGCAGGAAGAAGGCCUUCGGGUUGUAAACUGCUUUUGUACGGAACGAAACGGUCCUGGCUAAUAUCCGGGGCUAAUGACGGUACCGUAAGAAUAAGCACCGGCUAACUACGUGCCAGCAGCCGCGGUAAUACGUAGGGUGCGAGCGUUAAUCGGAAUUACUGGGCGUAAAGCGUGCGCAGGCGGUGCUGUAAGACAGGCGUGAAAUCCCCGGGCUCAACCUGGGAAUUGCGCUUGUGACUGCAGUGCUGGAGUGCGGCAGAGGGGGAUGGAAUUCCGCGUGUAGCAGUGAAAUGCGUAGAUAUGCGGAGGAACACCGAUGGCGAAGGCAAUCCCCUGGGCCUACACUGACGCUCAUGCACGAAAGCGUGGGGAGCAAACAGGAUUAGAAACCCGUGUAGUCC